Brassica napus (rape) is the source of this 3394-nucleotide long non-coding RNA. RefSeq lists it as uncharacterized. The record is from RefSeq and is a predicted model, not a curated record. NCBI's taxonomy places the organism in Eukaryota, Viridiplantae, Streptophyta, Magnoliopsida, Brassicales, Brassicaceae. The transcript has 5 exons.
AUUUGAUAAACAAAUUUUAUAUCCCGGUCAAAUAGCGUCCGGUAGUUUUAAUUCACACAGGCUAUUCUAUCUUAUGGUAAGUAGUGGACAUUUGUAUCACACUUAUUUCAUACAUAUUGUACGUAUAUCACUAUUUUGUAUGCAUGGGAGAGUAUGUGAAAGAUAUAUAUCACGUUGACUACAAGUAGUUGACAUUUGAAAUAUUAUAUACUCAAACAAAAACAGCACUACAGUAAAUUUGAGUAUUAAUAGCAUCAAAUUAUAGCGUUUAUGACAAUUCUGCUAUUGUAUGCCAACACUUGAUUUUUUAAUAGCGUUUAUCUGUUUAAAACGCAAUAUUUGUUAUCGCGGGAAAACAAAAAAAAUUAGGCGCAUUAAUUUUCUAAGUGAGGCUCCAACACUUAGAAAAAAUAAAUAUUUUGCCACCAAAACAGUUUUCAGAUUCACCGAAAUGGCUUUGUAUUGUUUCUCGUUUCAAAAAAAAAAAGGCUUUGUAUGGUUUCUCAGAAUCAUAAACUGAAGUCUCUUUCUCCAAUCUCUCUCGCGAAAUCAUCGUCUCUUCAUCUCCAUCUCUCCUCCGUCGUGUUUAUCGGUCAUUAUUUUCAUGGCUUCCACCGGACAAACCUCCAAUCUUCGUCGUUCACUUUCUCUUUUUAAGUUUGUCUUGAUUUGGGGUUUUUAGGUUUGGGUUUCGAUUUGCCUUGACUAUCUGUUUCUAGGUCCACACAUGUCUCGCCGAACUUUAUACCGUCGAAUCCUCCUCCCCCUCGCCGCCGUCACUCCUCACUUCCUCGCCUCAACGUCAGAUAUGCCGUCACCUCCGUUGGUUACAGAGAAGCAGCAGUUCCUGGAGCUUUCGACUUCACCAAUUCAUCCUCUCGGGGGCAAUCGAGUUUUGACGAGUUUUGUCCGAUUUGGUGAAGGCUUGGAGUUUGGGGAAAGUAGAUUUCUGAGAAGCAGUGUUGGGAGUGGUCGUGAACUUGUAACACAAAAACAAGAAGAAAGAAGGAUCCGUAAUUCAUCGAGAACAUCUCAUGUUUGUAAGUUUCAGAUGACACAUAAUUCUCCAAGAACAGCUUGCUAGUUUCUAAGUCUGGCCGGAAGACAAUGAUCAUGUUGGCUUUUCCAUGUGCUUGUUUCACCUCUAUGCUCUAUAUAAUUUGAAGUCUUUGAGAAGCAAAGGGAGAAGAGGAGGAUGUAAACGUCGAUUUGACUGAACAUAUGAAAGCCAGUGACGUUGAAAUUCCAUCUGAAUCUAUAACCUCAAAACUUUCUAAACGUUCUUUAAGUAUUAUAUGCCUGGGAAACUUUAUAUUUUGUUUUGUGACAAAGUUUAGAAUGGGUACAUAAUUGUCUCUUUAAAUAUAUAUAUUAAAUCUUCGUUUAUGGAUAUGGAUUGAUUAAGCUCAAUGAGAAAUAAGGUUUUUAAAUAUCAAAAGGAAAACAACUAUUACAAAGCCAAGGAACAGUAAAUAAAGUAAUGCAAAAUUGAAUAUUUCGUAGACUGAUGAAUCAUCCAGACAUUUAGGGCAGUGGCACCAAUUGAUAGAGUUCCAUUAUUAGACUUUAUAUAUAAUUAAUGGUUUAAACCCCUAAACAUAAAUUUAGAAUUACAAUAUUUUCAUGAUAUAAUUUCAAUCAAAAACUUAAAUGUAAUCAUUUUAAAAUCUAAUCUCAAAUUUAAAUUCUAAACCUCAAACACUAGAUCUUUAAUCUACACCCUAAACUCUAAACCCCAAACUUAAACUCUACAUACAAUACAAUGUCAUAAAUCUAAUUUUUUCAAACCUAUAAUAAAAAAAUUAAACUUAAUUUUAGAAAGCAUGUCUAAAAACAUAUUUAGCACAUGUUUAAAAACAUAUGUUGUAUAGCACAUGUUUAAAAAAUUUACAAAACAUGUCUAAAAACAUAUUUUGCACAUACUUUUAAACUUCAAUAAUUUAAAACAUGAGUCUUUUAUAUACUAAGAUGAAUAAGACACCUAAAACAUUUAAAACAUAUUAAAAACAUAUCUAACUAUAUAGGGUUUAUAACUUUUAAAUAUAAAACUAUAAAUCUAAUACCCUAAACAACAUAUUCUUGACACCAAACCCUAUAUCAUAAACAAUAACCUUUCAUUUUAAACUUGUAAUCUUAAAAUUUUAAUUAUAAAUCAUAAAAUCAAAAUAUAAAUUAACUAUAUAGGUUAUAACUUUAAAAUACAAAACUAUAAAUCUAAUACCCUAAACAACAUACUCUUAACACCAAACCCUAUAUCAUCAUCUCUAAACUUUAUAGUUUAUCCAAAUAUCAAUCACAAAUUUUAAUUUUUAAAAGUAUAAAUUUAAAUCUAAAAAAUUUGAAUUGUGAAUUAUAAAUUUAGAUGUUCUCUCAAAAUAAGUUUUAUUUACGAAAAUAUAUCAUAAAUAUUUUAUAUAUUACAAUACAAAAUAGAAUUUAAACAAUCGUGUUAAAAAAGAAUAGGAAAUAAUGUAUAAAAAUUUGAUUGGUCAACAUAAGUAGCCUAUCACAUGCAAGGGCGAGGAUCAUGCGUUAUGUAAUCACGACCAUUGAUUAAAUUUUUUAAAGGGUCAAGAUUCAUUCUGCUUCUUCCUCUCUCUCUCGUCUCUUUUUUUUCAGAUUCUUCAUCCGAUUUUGGAAGAGUUACAGACUCACAAAUCUCAUCUUCAUCCCUCUCGUAUCUCCAAUUUUUUGAAGUCAUCGUCACUACCAAACCUCUUCCAUCGCCUCUGUCUCUCAAUAUUCUUUUCCACUCAACACUACAGAUCCAUGUCUAUCAUCGUCACAACCACCAUCACCAUAACCUUCAACGCCCCCAUCUCUAUCUCCUCGUUCUCUGCCUCCGUCAGUGAAGCUGUCUCAGCCACAAUCACCAAAACCUCAGCCGCUGUCACCAUCAUCUUCAUCUCCACCUCCUCGUUCUCUACUCCGUCAUCGAACUCUGUCUCAACCACUCUUUUUAUCUAUCCUCUUAUCAAAGCUUCUUCUUUUCCAGGGAAGAGGAAGUGGAAUUGAUAAUGGGGCUGGUGGUUGUUCUUGUUCCCGUAGUGCACAACAUUGAUAGGAAGGUGCCGGAUAUGAAGAAGCUGUGAUGGUGGAGAUGGAGCAGAGCAAGAAGAAGAAGAAGAGAAAGAGGGAGAAGGAGAGAAGACAGAGACGUAAGGAAGACGAUGAAGAUGGAGGAGGAGGUGCGACAAAACAAGACGAUGGAAAAAAGGAAGCGGUGUAGAUUAGGUUCACUUUUGGUUGGUUUAUUAGGUUUGGUUUAGAUAGAUUUAGUUUAAUAAAUCAGGUUUGUGUGUAAACCAAUGUUCAUAAAUAAACCGAUAUUAAUUGUAAACCAUUAUUUGUGUACAUUGAUGUUAAUACAUAAAUAAAAUUUAAUUUUUAGUUA